AACGAACGCUGGCGGCAGGCCUAACACAUGCAAGUCGAGCGCCCCGCAAGGGGAGCGGCGGACGGGUGAGUAACGCGUGGGAAUAUGCCCUUUGCUACGGAAUAGUCUCGGGAAACUGGGGGUAAUACCGUAUACGCCCUUUGGGGGAAAGAUUUAUCGGCGAAGGAUUAGCCCGCGUUGGAUUAGGUAGUUGGUGGGGUAAUGGCCUACCAAGCCGACGAUCCAUAGCUGGUUUGAGAGGAUGAUCAGCCACACUGGGACUGAGACACGGCCCAGACUCCUACGGGAGGCAGCAGUGGGGAAUCUUAGACAAUGGGGGCAACCCUGAUCGAGCCAUGCCGCGUGAGUGAUGAAGGCCUUAGGGUUGUAAAGCUCUUUCAGCUGGGAAGAUAAUGACGGUACAAGCAGAAGAAGCCCCGGCUAACUCCGUG
This 431-nucleotide ribosomal RNA is filed under the name uncultured bacterium. RNAcentral describes it as "partial 16S ribosomal RNA". It matches the Rfam family "Bacterial small subunit ribosomal RNA", at positions 29 to 507 of the family's 1533-position model. The record is from RNAcentral.